Felis catus (domestic cat) is the source of this 1264-nucleotide long non-coding RNA. RefSeq lists it as uncharacterized. The record is from RefSeq and is a predicted model, not a curated record. Lineage: Eukaryota; Metazoa; Chordata; Mammalia; Carnivora; Felidae. The transcript has 3 exons.
GGCCAGAGCUUGGCCACCUGACCCUCCCUAGUUGCAAGGGAGGCUGGAAAUGUUUAACCGGGGCCCAGGGAGAAGAGACAGCCUGUUUGUUGAACAGGUGUCCUCCCUCUGCCACAAAGGGUGCCUACAGCUACUCUGAAAGAGCUCUGGGGAAAGCUGUUGAGAGUCCUCAAGUAGACAUUUUCCUUCCUCCUUUUGUAGACUCAGCCUCUAAGGUGCUCUGCUGCUACUAAGAAGGCAGACCUUUGCUCUGGCGUCAGACAGGUGGGACUUCAAGCCCAAGCUCUACCGAACAGGGUCACACCUGGGGAUCGUAGAGAGAUGCUAUGGCCCCAGAAGAAAGAAAAACAAAGGCUGUGGAAGAAUAAUGUAUUGCAGCCUUUUCCCUUGCAGUGUUUUAGCUCUCAAGAGUGAAAUAAUUACAACAGACCUCAUUUGAGGCAAAGGAAACUGAUGAAAGCAGAAGCCUGAGGCCAGAGACACGGGCAGGCAGCCCUGGGCCGUCACAUCCGGAACGCAGGCCCCAUGGCACGCUAACGACAUCGAGGACUUCGUUGGCCAACCUUGGUUUACCAAGGCAGUGCCAGUUUACUCGCAUCACUCUGGCAUAAUUAUUGAUGGCAUCCCUUCCACUUUCAACCGCAUCCUGGGUUGGAGUUUGAUUUAUAUGGUCAUCCCAUCUGCGAUUCCAGACAAGGAUUCUUUACUCCUCUGGACUUCAGUUUCCAAAACUUGAAAAAGGAUACAGGAUGAGGUAUUUUAGGAGGUUCUUUUUGUAAUGUUUAUGUGCUUUCCAUUUCAAAGUCUUAAAACUGAAUUCUAAAGUCAUCUGAUCAAGAAAAUUAGAAGAUCUUUCAACUUCGGGGCGCCUGGGUGGAUCAGUUGUUAAGUAGCCAACUUCGGCUCGGGUCAUGACCUCACGACUCAUGGGUUUGAGCCCUGCGUCGGGCUCUGUGCUGACAGCUCAGGGCCUGGAGCCUGUUUCAGAUUCUGUGUCUCCCUCUCUCUACCCCUCCCGCUCUUGCUGUCUUUCUCAAAAAUAAACUUUUUUUUUUUUAAUCUUUCAACUUCUAUCCACCUUCCUCCCUUCUAUAAAUGAAUGUAUACCCCAAUCAGUUUAGAUCCCACCUAACUAGAUCAACAUCACCGACUUUUAAGGGUCAAUAAGAGUAUCCUAGGGGACACCUGGGUGGCUCGGUCAGUUAAGCAUCUGACUCUUGAUUUCAGCUCAGGUCAUGAUCUCACAGUGGUGAGAUCAAGCCCC